GACGAACGCUGGCGGCGUGCUUAACACAUGCAAGUCGAACGGUAAGGCCCUUCGGGGUACACGAGUGGCGAGCGGGUGAGUAACACGUGGGUGAUCUGCCCUGCACUUCGGGAUAAGCCUGGGAAACUGGGUCUAAUACCGGAUAGGACCCUGGGAUGCAUGUCCUGGGGUGGAAAGCUUUUGCGGUGUGGGAUGGGCCCGCGGCCUAUCAGCUUGUUGGUGGGGUGAUGGCCUACCAAGGCGACGACGGGUAGCCGGCCUGAGAGGGAGACCGGCCACAGUGUGAUGGGGAAACGCCCAAGACCCCUACGGGAGGAAGCGGUGGGAAAUAUUGGAAAAUGGGCGUAAGCCUGAUGCAGCGACCCCGCGGGAGGGAUGACGGCUUUCGGGUUGUAACCCUCUUUCAGCACCGACGAAGCGAAAGUGACGGUGGGUAAAGAAGAAGGACCGGCCAACUACGUGCGAGCCGCCGCGGUAA
This 478-nucleotide ribosomal RNA is filed under the name uncultured bacterium. Its description in RNAcentral is "partial 16S ribosomal RNA". It matches the Rfam family "Bacterial small subunit ribosomal RNA", at positions 28 to 523 of the family's 1533-position model. The record is from RNAcentral.